AACUUUCAACAACGGAUCUCUUGGCUCUCGCAUCGAUGAAGAACGCAGCGAAAUGCGAUAAGUAGUGUGAAUUGCAGAACUUUGUGAACCAUCGAAUCUUUGAACGCAAAUUGCGCCUCCUUUCGGGAGGCAUGUCUGUUUGAGGGCACC
This 150-nucleotide ribosomal RNA is filed under the name uncultured Paraglomus. RNAcentral's name for it is "5.8S ribosomal RNA". It matches the Rfam family "5.8S ribosomal RNA". Rfam says of the family: 5.8S ribosomal RNA (5.8S rRNA) is a component of the large subunit of the eukaryotic ribosome. The record is from RNAcentral. Lineage: Eukaryota; Fungi; Glomeromycota; Glomeromycetes; Paraglomerales; Paraglomeraceae.